This is a long non-coding RNA of Gasterosteus aculeatus aculeatus (three-spined stickleback), 674 nucleotides long. The record is from Ensembl. Lineage: Eukaryota; Metazoa; Chordata; Actinopteri; Perciformes; Gasterosteidae.
AUCAACAUACUGACGUGGUUCCAUAAACUGCAGGUCUCUCUCUCUCUCUUCAGCCACUCGUUUCUUUAGUCUGCCUCUAAAAGACAGGAAGACAAGCGGAGCCGGGAGGAGGAGGAGGAGUGUGUAAGGAAAUCCUGUGACUCAUGAGAAAAGAGGAUACCUGCCGUUUCACUGAUCCCAGCACAGAUUGAGAAACACUCAGCCGUAAUUGGGUAAUUUUCCCAUUUUGUCUGUCCGACGUUGGCGUCAGGAAACGCAGCAGGAGGGAGGAGGCGGGGUGAGCGCUCCCUGUCCCGGCCGCUGGUGCAGAAGCAGAAGGUCGUGAGGUAAAGGCCAAAGUGUUAGUGUUAGCAAAGGCAUCUGAGGUAGCGGGUUGGAACCCGAAGCGGCGGCUCAGGUAACUCCCGCCGACACAAAUUCUCUCUCCUCUGCCUUCCGUCGCCAGUGGGACGGUGUCCCUCCCCAAGGUCGCCGUGCAGGUCAUCUCUCUUCUCCUCGCCGGCACCGGGCUGCACUGUAUCGAACACACCGCGUGCUAUUGUGCCGCACCGUGCCGGGUAGGAGGCAGCGCUCAUGUGAUGCUCAAAGUGAGGGGGGGGUUGGUGAAUGGCUGUCAUUCAUAAGAGCCUUCAGACACUGAUCCUGCCAGUCAGCUGCUGCUGGCCUCCUCCUGC